CGCUUGAGGAUGAGCCUGCGGCCCAUCAGCUAGUUGGUUGGGGUAAUGGCCCACCAAGGCAUAGACGGGUAGCUGGUCUGAGAGGAUGAACAGCCACACUGGAACUGAGACACGGUCCAG
Molecule: ribosomal RNA, 120 nt
Filed under: uncultured bacterium
Lineage: Bacteria
Description: partial 16S ribosomal RNA
Rfam family: Bacterial small subunit ribosomal RNA
Source: RNAcentral